UUUUAAACAUUGCUCAGAGUGUAGCAAACUAUACCUGUGUAAGCUGGACUCCUUCAUUCCUUUUGAAACGAUAUGUCUUGAAGGGUAUUCGUGAUGGCCCCCAUGAGCCAUUUAUCACAGAUUCUGUUGACUUUGUUGUAUCCCAGGAGUAGCAGCCAAGAAGACGGAACAAGAAUGGGAAAAGUGGAGGGUUGUCCCUCCUAAAUUAGAGCGAGGCGUAAGCCAAAUUCUUUCAUUUCUAUCUGAAUUAUGUGAUGGAUAAUUCUAAUGGCCAAGUCAAGUGAAGUUACUUUAAAGGAAACAAACGCUAAAAAGAGAGAGGCAUCUGCUAAACAAACCUCAAGUGGAUCAUCAUUUUCAAGCAUUGAGCAUUUCCCGCUUAAAGAAGAGAAACACUCUAGGCUUGAAACUUGCGCUCGGUAGCUGUUCAACAACGAAGAUUGCAGGAUCAUGUUCUUCUGCUUGUUAUUUUGCUUUGCGGCCUAAUGUUCCUUGUUAAUGAAUAUAAACUAAUUUCUUUUGCUGCUAGGCAUUAUUUAAUGCUUGUAAUAGAUAUAGCAAAUUAGACAAAGCACAAAACCUUGAGUAAUUUUUGUAACAAUCAAACGGUUUGCAAACAAUGCAUAUAUGAAAUAUAAUCUAAUAGCCUUAUUAUCUUA
Molecule: long non-coding RNA, 659 nt
Organism: Beta vulgaris subsp. vulgaris (sugar beet)
Lineage: Eukaryota; Viridiplantae; Streptophyta; Magnoliopsida; Caryophyllales; Amaranthaceae
Exons: 5
Source: RefSeq, a predicted model, not a curated record